Molecule: ribosomal RNA, 468 nt
Filed under: uncultured bacterium
Lineage: Bacteria
Description: partial 16S ribosomal RNA
Rfam family: Bacterial small subunit ribosomal RNA
Source: RNAcentral
GACGAACGCUGGCGGCGUGCUUAACACAUGCAAGUCGAACGGAAAGGCCCUGCUUUUGUGGGGUGCUCGAGUGGCGAACGGGUGAGUAACACGUGAGUAACCUGCCCUUGACUUUGGGAUAACUUCAGGAAACUGGGGCUAAUACCGGAUAGGAGCUCCUGCUGCAUGGUGGGGGUUGGAAAGUUUCGGCGGUUGGGGAUGGACUCGCGGCUUAUCAGCUUGUUGGUGGGGUAGUGGCUUACCAAGGCUUUGACGGGUAGCCGGCCUGAGAGGGUGACCGGCCACAUGGGGACUGAGGGACGGCGCAGACUCCUACGGGAGGCAGCAGUGGGGAAUAUGACACAAUGGGCGGAAGCCUGAUGCAGCAACGCCGCGUGCGGGAUGACGGCCUUCGGGGUGUAAACCGCUUUCGCCUGUGACGAAGCGUGAGUGACGGUAAUGGGUAAAGAAGCACCGGCUAACUACGUG